Molecule: ribosomal RNA, 450 nt
Filed under: uncultured bacterium
Lineage: Bacteria
Description: partial 16S ribosomal RNA
Rfam family: Bacterial small subunit ribosomal RNA
Source: RNAcentral
GUGGGGAAUAUUGGACAAUGGGGGGAACCCUGAUCCAGCCAUGCCGCGUGUGUGAAGAAGGCCUUUUGGUUGUAAAGCACUUUAAGCGAGGAGGAGGCUACCGAGAUUAAUACUCUUGGAUAGUGGACGUUACUCGCAGAAUAAGCACCGGCUAACUCUGUGCCAGCAGCCGCGGUAAUACAGAGGGUGCAAGCGUUAAUCGGAUUUACUGGGCGUAAAGCGCGCGUAGGUGGCCAAUUAAGUCAAAUGUGAAAUCCCCGAGCUUAACUUGGGAAUUGCAUUCGAUACUGGUUGGCUAGAGUAUGGGAGAGGAUGGUAGAAUUCCAGGUGUAGCGGUGAAAUGCGUAGAGAUCUGGAGGAAUACCGAUGGCGAAGGCAGCCAUCUGGCCUAAUACUGACACUGAGGUGCGAAAGCAUGGGAGCAAACAGGAUUAGAUACCCCGGUAGUCC